UGAGGAAUAUUGGUCAAUGGGCGAAAGCCUGACCCAGCAACGCCGCGUGAGGGAAGAAGGUCUUCGGAUUGUAAACCUCUGUCCUUGGGGACGAAAAAAAUGACGGUACCCAAGGAGGAAGCUCCGGCUAACUACGUGCCAGCAGCCGCGGUAAUACGUAGGGAGCGAGCGUUGUCCGGAAUUACUGGGCGUAAAGGGUGCGUAGGCGGCAUGGCAAGUCAGAUGUGAAAUCCCCGGGCUUAACUCGGGUGGUGCAUUUGAAACUGCUGUGCUUGAGUGCAGGAGAGGAAAGCGGAAUUCCUAGUGUAGCGGUGAAAUGCGUAGAUAUUAGGAAGAACACCAGUGGCGAAGGCGGCUUUCUGGACUGUAACUGACACUGAGGCACGAAAGCGUGGGGAGCAAACA
This 405-nucleotide ribosomal RNA is filed under the name uncultured prokaryote. RNAcentral's name for it is "bacterial SSU rRNA". It matches the Rfam family "Bacterial small subunit ribosomal RNA", at positions 355 to 774 of the family's 1533-position model. The record is from RNAcentral.